UAGACCACCACCCUGGGAUUGGA
Molecule: unclassified non-coding RNA, 23 nt
Filed under: Mus musculus (house mouse)
Lineage: Eukaryota; Metazoa; Chordata; Mammalia; Rodentia; Muridae
Description: oocyte_clustered_small_RNA1502
Source: RNAcentral